CUCCAACCUAAGGAACAUGGCUGCUCAACACGUCUCCCCCUCAUGUUACCGGGAAGAGCCCCGGAGUUGUAGGACAAGGCUCCUGGAGAUAUUAAUUCAGAACUAGCGGUAUUACUGCAGCAUCCCCCCCUCUUUCCCGAUCGUCCGUUGCCUCUCACCGGGAGCACUGCGGCUGUAUCUUCCCCCACCGCCGUCUCAGACGACACCCGUGCGAUAGUGCUAUACUGCGCAUGUGUCCAGCUCUCCUGUUGUGGAUAGUGGACUUUCACCGCCGCAGGGCCUGCUGGGUACAAGCGGCACCAUUGGAUUACACCUUUAGCUUCUAAUUCUAUUACCGUUAUGGGGAAGUUGAUAUAAUCGCCUCAGUUCUGCUACAGCUUCCACACAGUGCAUGCUCCUGCUCCCUGAGGGCCUCUGUGAAUAACGGCAGCUCCAGAUGAAUACGAAGAGAAGGAUGGAGCAGGAGCAGCUUGUACUCUGAUCAACAGGAGUCCAGGGCUGAGCCCAGAUCUUUCUCAUUGGCUGAAGCUGUGCAUCAUUGGUAACACCAUUUUCAGUUAAAUCUGAGGAGAAACCUGGAUCUUUCUAUUUGUGGCUUUAAACACAGAAAACCCUACAGGGCUGGUGCAAGCAUCUCAACAUUUGUUACUGGAAUGUGGGGACACAUUGAAACAAUGCACAAAAAAAUUCAAACGCUGACUUAAAGCAAUAAUUGAGCAGAAAGGAAAUGUCACUGGUUUCAAUAAAUGUACAGGCAGAAAGGUUAGAAUGGGUUUGGGAAGGUUGAUGAUGUUAAAGUGCAAAAUAAAAAUCCACAGACCAUGAAUGAGAACUAAUCUCAUAAUCUCCUGUGGUACAUGUGCAGAGGGUUUCCUGAAUCAAAUUUAAAGAAUUAAUGUGAAGUAUUUUCCUCAUAUAAGACCAUAAGAAAAGUCAAUAAUAAAUAGGAACAUGAGAAGGCCAUUUGGCUCCUCAAGCCUGCCCCAACAUUCCUCAUAUUCACUGUCUGAGUUUUCCCUAUAACCCUUGAUUCCCCUACUGAUCAAGAAUCUAUCCAUCUGAGUGUUAAAUAUUUACAAGGCAUUUGCCUGCACAACUUUCUGUGACAAGGAGUUCCAAAGACUCUCAACCAUCUGAAAGAAGAAACUCCAUCUCAUUUCAGUCUUAAAUUGGCAGUCUUUAUUUCAUGAUUAUGCCCUCAGGUCUUGUACUCUCCCAUGAGGGGAAACAUCCUCUCAGCAUUCGCCCUGUCAAGCCCCUUAAGAAUCCUGUAUGUUUUAAUGAGAUCACCUCUCAUUCUUCUAAAUUCCAGCAAGUAGAGUCCCAACCUGUUUAGCUUUUGCUCACAAGACAAUCUUUCCAUACUCAGGAAUGAUCGCGGUGAACCUUCUCUGAACUACCUCCAUGAAAUGAUAUCUUUCCUUAAAUAAGGGGAUCAAAAUUGCCCACAGUACUCCAGAUAUGGUCUCACCAGUACCUUGUACAGCAGCAGUAAGAUGUCCGUACCAUUAUACUCCAACACCAUUGAAAUAAGGGCCAAUAUUCGAUUAGGUUUGCUGAUUACUUGCUGCACCCAUGCGCUAGCUUUGCAUUUUGUGUACAAGUAUCCACAAUUCCCUUUGUGUCACAGAUUUGGGCAGUUUUUCUCCAUCUAAAUGAUGCUCACUGGUCAAUUAUAUUCAAAAACUCAGUGAUCAAAACUUUGAUUUUAAGAUUUGUGUCAGGAGUCACAAAAGCAUUUAAUAAUUUACAAUUGAUAAUACUUUGUAGUACAGUUCAUUAAAUCUUUAAAUUGAUAGUAGGCUGCUCAAAGACACAAUGAAAUGAUUAAUUGUUGCAUUUAUUCCAAACUCAGGGUACAGUUAAUAAUGAGAAAGACAAUUAAAUCCUGGUAUCAGUGAAACUUGAAAAGACUUGUGGUGCAGUGUUUGUGGCCAGAAAAAAACACUUUCCCCUGAGAGGUGUCAUAACACGUUAAAACAGAUUCAUUAAAAUAACUACUCCUUUAAGGCAUCCUUAAAAACUAUCCACAAAACAGGCAAUUUGUGGAAACACACCGUAGGUCCAUUAAUAGCCCAUGUUCUCCCCAGUUUUAGCAUAGCAAUGAGAAUAUGUUUUGGGAUUUUGAAAGAGAAGAAAUCAUAGUUUCUGGUUUCUCUCUGGGGCACAGCACUUUCUUCAGAGAUUCUUUUAUGAGCCCCUCCCUGUGCCCAGACACAGUUCAUGUGAGAAAUGUUCAGUUCAAUUAAUCACGUGAUGUCCUGUGUAUUUUAUACUUGUCCUGUUUUCCUCUUAUCACAAGGCUGUUGCUGGUAUCGGUGUAUGAGCUUUCACAAACAGUUUCAUUUUAAAAAAUCUUACAGCUGCAGUAGACUUGAGAAAACCGGACAACAUAAGAACUUGCAGCAUGAGUAGACAGUUUGCUGCCUCAAGCCGGCUCCUCCAUUUAAUAUGAUUCUGGCUGAUCUCACCUUGGAUUCAACUCCACUUUCCUGCCUGCUCUCCAUAAUCUUUCAACCCAUUACUAAUUAAAAACCUGUCUAUCA
This is a long non-coding RNA of Rhincodon typus (whale shark), 2546 nucleotides long. RefSeq lists it as uncharacterized. The record is from RefSeq and is a predicted model, not a curated record. The transcript has 2 exons. NCBI's taxonomy places the organism in Eukaryota, Metazoa, Chordata, Chondrichthyes, Orectolobiformes, Rhincodontidae.